CCUACGGGUGGCAGCAGUGAGGAAUAUUGGUCAAUGGACGCAAGCCUGAACCAGCCAUGCCGCGUGCAGGAAGACGGCUCUAUGAGUUGUAAACUGCUUUUGUACGAGGGUAAACGCAGAUACGCGUAUCUGUCUGAAAGUAUCGUACGAAUAAGGAUAGGCUAACUCCGUGCCAGCAGCCGCGGUAAUACGGAGGAUUCAAGCGUUAUCCGGAUUUAUUGGGUGUAAAGGGUGCGUAGGCGGUCGGAUAAGUUAGAGGUGAAAUCCCGAGGCUCAACUUCGGAAUUGCCUCUGAUACUGUUCGGCUAGAGAGUAGUAGCGGUAGGCGGAAUGUAUGGUGUAGCGGUGAAAUGCUUAGAGAUCAUACAGAACACCGAUUGCGAAGGCAGCUUACCAAGCUACUUCUGACGUUGAGGCACGAAAGCGUGGGGAGCAAACAGGAUUAGAUACCCCAGUAGUC
This 460-nucleotide ribosomal RNA is filed under the name uncultured bacterium. RNAcentral's name for it is "partial 16S ribosomal RNA". It matches the Rfam family "Bacterial small subunit ribosomal RNA", at positions 338 to 795 of the family's 1533-position model. The record is from RNAcentral.